UGAGCAUGCGCAAUAGUAACCACCAACGGACAGUCUCCUGCUUAGGACCACAUGGUGCCGAUCGGACUGUGCCAACUCAUUUGCUGGUAACUGGAUGUUUUUGUUGCUUGUGGAACAAUAAGUUAACAGGCAUAGCACAAGUUCAAGCAUGUUUUGGCGGCUUUCCACCACCAUCCACCUGAAAACCAACUGCUCCAGAAGGAAAGCGAAAACUCUCAAAUGAUAGCCAUGACAAACCUGGAUAGUGACUUUUUAAGUGCACUGCAACACACAACACUUUGUCACAAUCUUCAAGUCCAGGAAAGGAAGUGCUGGAGAGAAACUGGCUGAGAUUGUGUAGCAAAUUGAUUCAAAGGAGACUGUGUAACAAAUUGAUUAAAAGAUGUAGCAGCAGUGCGUACCUUGUUCUCCAAGGCCUCCCUAAUCUGCUCAGUGAUGAGGCCAGUAACUUCUGCAACACCUCCUUGGAUUUUGACAGUGAUGAGGCCUGGACAAAAGUAUCUGUUGAGUUGCUGACAGUCAUCAUUGAAGAUGCACCUCUCUCCAAAUCAUCUCCAU
Micropterus dolomieu (smallmouth bass) is the source of this 558-nucleotide long non-coding RNA. RefSeq lists it as uncharacterized. The transcript is spliced from 5 exons. Lineage: Eukaryota; Metazoa; Chordata; Actinopteri; Centrarchiformes; Centrarchidae. The record is from RefSeq and is a predicted model, not a curated record.